AUGAUAUCUCUUUGUAAUACUAGUAGUCUUUGUCUCAAUAUGCCCCUAAUAGUAGAAAUACUUGAUCAUUCUAGAAAAUCAGCUCAAGAGUUCUCUGUCCUAUUACUUUUUUUGAGGCAAUAUGUCCCAUUACUUUUUUUUGGCCAACCAUGUGUGAAAUUGGGAAUGCUUUUCUUUUCUCUUAAAGUUGGUAGAAGCAUCUCUUGUUAUGUAGUUGUUUACCUCCAAGUUGCAAAAUUUAGAAGGCAUCCAUUAACUAUGAGAAUGAAAGUAUCCAUGUCUAUUUUGUUUCUUUUUGUUUUUUCUACAGUACUAAUAAUUAAUAGGGGGCAAAACUGUACCCUCAUGUUUUUGUUUUGUUUUAUUUUAUUCUAA
Vicia faba (fava bean) is the source of this 375-nucleotide non-coding RNA. The record is from the annotation of a GenBank genome assembly. Lineage: Eukaryota; Viridiplantae; Streptophyta; Magnoliopsida; Fabales; Fabaceae.